Molecule: ribosomal RNA, 325 nt
Filed under: uncultured bacterium
Lineage: Bacteria
Description: bacterial SSU rRNA
Rfam family: Bacterial small subunit ribosomal RNA
Source: RNAcentral
GCUAAUACCGGAUACCCACGAUUGGUCGCAUGGCCGAUCGUGGAAAGAACUUCGCUUCGGGAGGGUCUCGCGGCCUAUCAGCUUGUUGUGGGGUAACGGCCCACCAAGGCAUCGACGGGUAGCUGGUCUGAGAGGACGAUCAGCCACACUGGGACUGAGACACGGCCCAGACUCCUACGGGAGGCAGCAGUGGGGAAUCUUGCGCAAUGGGCGAAAGCCUGACGCAGCAACGCCGCGUGCGGGAUGAAGGCCUUCGGGUUGUAAACCGCUUUCAGUAGGGACGAAAUUGACGGUACCUACAGAAGAAGCCCCGGCCAACUACGUG